AAACUUACUUGGUUGGGAAUGGCUCAGCUCAAGCAUUGUGCUGUUCUAUUCUGGAGCAGGGCUCUGCACUCAGCUGUCUGUAAAGGGGUACGGACCCUCUCUGGGGGUAUCGACAACACAAUUUUUGCUAGAGGCGUCUCACCAACUGGUGGACGCCAA
Molecule: small nuclear RNA, 159 nt
Organism: Condylostylus longicornis
Lineage: Eukaryota; Metazoa; Arthropoda; Insecta; Diptera; Dolichopodidae
Product: U1 spliceosomal RNA
Exons: 1
Source: RefSeq, a predicted model, not a curated record